AAUAGACGGCUCCAUAUGCUCUGAUUCAUUAUUUUGAUUCCGAUCCAGGAGCACUACCAAAGUGUUUCAAAG
RNAcentral lists this transfer RNA (72 nucleotides) under Monimopetalum chinense. RNAcentral's name for it is "tRNA-Met". The record is from RNAcentral. Lineage: Eukaryota; Viridiplantae; Streptophyta; Magnoliopsida; Celastrales; Celastraceae.